Long non-coding RNA from Agelaius phoeniceus (red-winged blackbird), 1446 nucleotides. RefSeq lists it as uncharacterized. NCBI's taxonomy places the organism in Eukaryota, Metazoa, Chordata, Aves, Passeriformes, Icteridae. The record is from RefSeq and is a predicted model, not a curated record.
CGGGUGAGGGCUGAGGGCACGGCUUUCCGAAGGGCAGGGCCCGGUUCUACCCUGGGCGCUGCUGGGGAUAAAAGAGCUCGGUUGCCGCUGUGGGGCACUGCGGGGAAACAGCGGGAGCAGGGAGGUUGAGUGCUCUCCCAACAGAACAGCUCUCAGAAGUGUGUUUGAGCUCGCUUGGUAAUUAGCUGCUUUUAGAGAGAAAGCAGCGGGAUGCUGAACGUGUUAUGUAUGAGCAGAGGGCAAAUAGCUGUGACAGACCAAGACUCUGCAAGUCCCUAACAGGAGGGUGUUGCCAGGUGUGGGUCGGCCUCUUCUCACAAGCGACAGGACGAGAGGACACGAAGUUACCAAAGAGCUCAAAGCUGCACUGGUGCUCCUCACCAGACUGCACAGCAGCAUCCAUCUGCCCAGGAGCACCUGAGGACACCGAGGCAUCAGAAAGCAUCUUCAUUCACAGCAGUGGAUCAGGAGCUCCAUUUCACUACCAGAACAUCCUCCAGCUGGACAGCAAACCCUAACCUUAGGAAAACCUUGACUGUGCCAGAAUUUCUGUCUAUCUCACUGUGAUUAAUAGACCUUGGACUGUAAGGAGGGAAUAUUGAUAUCAUAAAUAACACACUUCAUAAGGAAGGUCAAUUUUCAGACUAUCCAGAAGCAAUCUACAAACCCCUAAAAGUCGUAGGCAGGCUGAAAAUUAAGAUAAUUUUCCCAACACUGCCAGCAAAAUAACUUAUGGAGCAGUGUUUUCCCUAGGGAGCUCACAUGUAAGUGCCUAACCUAAGACUCUUAAAGUAAUCAUCUUAUCAGCCCUUACUAUGUCAUCCUGUGCCCUAAAGAAAGACAAAAAUAGACUGUUGAAGGAUUUAUGAUGAAAACACUCCUGUUCUCAUAAACUUGUAUCUGAGCCUAGGUGAAUGGUUUCCUGCAUGCUGGGAAAAAGAAUGAAUUAAAAAUAAAUUAGAAGAAUAUGAAGAGAUCAAAUAAUAGAUUAUUAAUAUUUGUUAUCUGGAUAAUGAGCAUGGCAGAGAAGCUGAUUGGAAAGUAAUUUGCUAAGUGAUACAAGCAGAAAGACUUUCAGGAAGAUGGAAUGGAAAUAUCUUGGGGAACAUCUGGCAAAUUAAACAAUUUCAAUUAGGCUUACGAGAAAAGAAGGAAAUCCAUGCCAGAUUGAGGAGAGAAGCAUUGAAAAUCAGUUGGAAUCCUGAUGGCUUCUCAAAUAACCUGUCAACUCAGAACAUUGUGAUUCUCAGAGCAGCAGGUAACUCACAGAAGUUUGGGUUGUUAAUUUCCCUUUUUGUUUUUCCCCAAGGAUCCAUUCUACUUAAGUAUACAAAGCUAAGAUUUUACAGGUACAGUUAAAGAGGCUAUCAUGAAAGAUUAAGUUUAUUGUCACUGGUUUGUUUGGUUAAGGUCUCAAGAGCAAAAUAAAAAUGUUCCUGAAUGGAA